GCAUUACUGACGAGUCCCAAACAGGACGAAACAGCUGUCCGGUAC
RNAcentral lists this non-coding RNA (45 nucleotides) under Echinostoma caproni. The record is from RNAcentral. Lineage: Eukaryota; Metazoa; Platyhelminthes; Trematoda; Plagiorchiida; Echinostomatidae.